AUUCAUAACUGGCAGGGGAGAUACCAUUAUUGUAAAAGUGUUUUCCCAGGGUAAGGCUCAUCUAUUGCACUUUGGGUGUGCUGUCCCCUGUGAUUUCACAAGAAUGAUUUUACUAGCAGCAGCAAUUCUAAGAAUUAAAGACUUUCC
RNAcentral lists this small nuclear RNA (147 nucleotides) under Pogona vitticeps (central bearded dragon). Its description in RNAcentral is "U1 spliceosomal RNA (ENSPVIG00000012541.1)". It matches the Rfam family "U1 spliceosomal RNA". Rfam says of the family: U1 is a small nuclear RNA (snRNA) component of the spliceosome (involved in pre-mRNA splicing). Lineage: Eukaryota; Metazoa; Chordata; Lepidosauria; Squamata; Agamidae. The record is from RNAcentral.